AUCCUGGGGCUGAAGUAGGUCCCAAGGGUAUGGCUGUUCGCCAUUUAAAGUGGUACGCGAGCUGGGUUUAGAACGUCGUGAGACAGUUCGGUCCCUAUCUGCCGUGGGCGCUGGAGAACUGAGGGGGGCUGCUCCUAGUACGAGAGGACCGGAGUGGACGCAUCACUGGUGUUCGGGUUGUCAUGCCAAUGGCACUGCCCGGUAGCUAAAUGCGGAAGAGAUAAGUGCUGAAAGCAUCUAAGCACGAAACUUGCCCCGAGAUGAGUUCUCCCUGACCCUUUAAGGGUCCUGAAGGAACGUUGAAGACGACGACGUUGAUAGGCCGGGUGUGUAAGCGCAGCGAUGCGUUGAGCUAACCGGUACUAAUGAACCGUGAGGCUUAACCUUACAACGCCGAAGCUGUU
RNAcentral lists this ribosomal RNA (404 nucleotides) under Acinetobacter baumannii. RNAcentral describes it as "bacterial LSU rRNA". It matches the Rfam family "Bacterial large subunit ribosomal RNA", at positions 2544 to 2925 of the family's 2925-position model. Lineage: Bacteria; Pseudomonadati; Pseudomonadota; Gammaproteobacteria; Moraxellales; Moraxellaceae. The record is from RNAcentral.